GUUCCCUUUUUCGACCCCAACGGACUUGUUCUCAUCACCAGACGUCUAAAUCGUUUUUUUUCAUUUCUCAAAUGUUUUUCAGUUUAUUUCUGUUGAGUGUCGCGGUAAAUCAACUUGACGCUUCUCCGGUCCCUCCCGAAACCGAUGUCAAUAAUUAUCUAGCGAGUUUUGGUUACCUACAUCCGAAAUACAAGAAUUCCUCUAAUUCGGUCAUUGCAGGGGAAACUAUCCGAAUUACCGACAGAGAUUUCCAGUCCUUUUUCGGCUUGAAUAUAACAGGUGAAGAAGACGAGGAAACAUUAAGAUGGAUUAGGAAGCCUCGUUGCGGUGUUCCGGAUCGAAUCAUAACGGAUGAUUCUUCCACUCAACAGAAGCGCAAAAUUAAUAGUAACGGAGAAAACCGGUGGACUAAAAAUAAAUUAACUUACGUUGUUCGUAAAUUCACGCCGGAUUUGGAAGAAUCCUUCGUGGUUGGAGAAAUCGCCAGAGCAUUUCGGCUGUAUGGAAAAAAAGUUUACCUUCACUUUUAUUGAGACGGGAAAAGUCGACAUUGAAAUCCGUUUUGAGAAGGGCUCUCAGACGAUAAAAAUCACCAAAAGUUUGCAAAGUUUGAUGAUGGCCCGGGUGGUGUUUUGGCUCACGCUAUCUUUCCCGAACGUGGUGAUACAAUCUUCGAUGAAGCGGAAACAUGGACCAUCAGCAGUGAGGGUACGAAUUUGUUCCAGGUGGCUGCUCACGAAUUUGGUCACGUCCUUGGACUGCCGCAUUCCGAUACCAAAACGGAUGUGAUGACUCCAAGUUACGAUUACCGCCCUGUAUUUCAAAUUGGAAACUGGUGACAUCAGUAGAAUCGAGGUUUUAUCAAUUCCGAGGCUGAUUAUUGUCACCACCAGGUUACUGUUUACUUCACAAAUGGGCAACUCAGUUCUCACGAAUGUUCGUCUGCAAUGAAAAAUCAGAACAUGGUGUGUCGUUGAGUUAAGUCUGGUGUCUCGUUGAGUUAGGAAAUAGUUGAGCCAUAAACUUGAGAUGGAGAUUGUGGAGAGAUUGACGUCGACGUAACCAGAGGAAGUUAUCCUGGCAACUAGUCGUGGGACUUGACAAGAUGAAAAAAAUUCAUCAUCUGAUCCAACACCAACGACAUCGAAGGGAAAUGCCAAACGAAAUCCAUCAAAGUUGAAGCAACAGUUCAGCGUCGACUGGUCACUAGACUGAAUUUAUCAUUGGCGCUCCUGCUCUCUUCAACAAAACUCCGCAAAACUCGUCCCGAUUCGAUUCCCGUUCAAAUAAGAAGAACGGAAAUUAGAAAAUCCUGAAGAAGAUGUAAAACGAAGUGGAGUUCUACUGAGCUUUGGAGUUCUACGGUCGCCAUACCGAUGGUUCAGCCUUCAGGUAUAAAAUUUACAAGAAGUUGAGUCCUCAGAGUUGAUAUUUCACAAUGUAGGCUUUAAAUUAUUUGUCAAAUUGAUUGUAUUUGCAAUUUUCAAAUAACUUUCAGUUUUGUUACAACAACGAAGGUAAAGGAUUUGAUUUCAUUGCAUUUGCCGCCUGAUACAGGCGAUUGUAUAGCAUCUAGCGGAGAAAUUCUUUACUGCUUAUCGGCCAUUGCCAUUCAUCGUCUGCUACUUAAUUUUUUCAUUUCUCACGUGGUCGGAGUGGAGACGGUCACCUGGUCGCCAUUUUUCUGGAAUUUGGAAAUUCCUUGCCCAGUUUGUCGUGUCUUUGUUAUCUCUAGUUGAUUAUCUAGCUUCUAAUUAUGCUACUAAGUAUUGUUUCAUAUUUUUUGUAGUCAUUUCGUUUCCAUUAAACAUUUCUCGCUGUCAAACAGUAUCGAUAUAAUUUGUUCUUCAUGUCCAGCCCAGCUUUUGAUUCGUUGCUCAAAGUAACUUCUAUAUUGAAAUUUUCCCAAAAUAUUUUUGUUCUUGUUUAUUUAAGUUAGAAUAGUUAAUGAACCUAAACAUUAUUUGUGCUAAUCUGUCUAUUUUAUUCAGAUUUCCUGACUUCAGAAGCUGGUGAGGUGUUAAGUGACGGUGAGGUGUUAAGAGAUCUGCCAGAUUGACCAGGACUCGUGAUCAUCACCAAAUUAUUUCAUGUAGUAAUUUACCUGUUAAGUGAACACUAAGAUUAUAUUGUGAUUCCUUUUCCUAAGUUGAGAUAUCAAAAUUUUUGUAAAAGGUUUUUUUUGUGUUAGGAUUCAUUUUUGACAGGAAAAUUAAAGAAGUUUUUUUUGGGGGGGAAGGAGGUACUUUCUACUUUGGAUUCUUUAAUUUUAUUUUUGAGGGUGGACGAGGUGGCAAGAUUCAAACUUAACUGUAAAUUCCUUGACCCUUGUUCUGUGGCGUUGGAGGACAACGUCAUUUGACAGAAUUUUAGAGUAUUGUACAUUUCUUGUGUUCCUGUUCCAAGAAAAUUGACUCUUUUUAAGGUUUCAGCCAUGUCAAUCGAUUUCGUAAUGAAUGGUCUCAAUUAGGUUUUGUUUUUUAUUAGCUUGACUUUACUUCUCCCCGAGAUUAGUUGCUCCUGACUAGUAAUUGCCAUUUUCCGUAUCGACUUCUUCCUAAUAUUAAUUGCCACAAUCUUCUCCUGACUGAAUGUCUUGGAUGCAGUUUUAUCACGGCCAUGUUUACAGUUUGACUGAUUGGCGAUUUCACGUAGUCAUACAAUUAAAACAGAUUGGGAUAAAUUUUGUUCUUUUAUUUGAAGGCAUUUAUAAAAAGAUUUUCCGAACAUCAACCAGCUCUUUCUCUUGCUAAAUAAACUAUGUAUAUUCUUUUACGAUUUGUAGUGUGUUUAAAAGUAUUGAUUCUUAAAGUUGAGAUGUGUAAAUAAAAACAGAAAUAAAUA
Molecule: unclassified non-coding RNA, 2844 nt
Filed under: Daphnia pulex (common water flea)
Lineage: Eukaryota; Metazoa; Arthropoda; Branchiopoda; Diplostraca; Daphniidae
Description: uncharacterized LOC124203954, transcript variant X2
Source: RNAcentral